Molecule: non-coding RNA, 176 nt
Filed under: Clostridium sp.
Lineage: Bacteria; Bacillati; Bacillota; Clostridia; Eubacteriales; Clostridiaceae
Also listed under: 1 other name
Description: Lysine sequence
Rfam family: Lysine riboswitch aptamer
About the family: Riboswitches are metabolite binding domains within certain messenger RNAs that serve as precision sensors for their corresponding targets. Allosteric rearrangement of mRNA structure is mediated by ligand binding, and this results in modulation of gene expression.
Source: RNAcentral
ACUACAGAUAGAGGCGCGAAUUUCAAAAUUAGCGGGUGCGAGGCAGCCAGAGCCGAAGACCACCCGUGAAAGGGAAAAUCGCCGAAGGGGAUACCACCGUGGCAGGGGAUCCGCCUGGUUAACCUGCGAACAGCAUGUUAACUGUCAUCAGUCUUUGAUGGAGAGCUAUCGGCUUU